RNAcentral lists this long non-coding RNA (1281 nucleotides) under Numida meleagris (helmeted guineafowl). RNAcentral's name for it is "lncRNA (ENSNMEG00000018312.1)". Lineage: Eukaryota; Metazoa; Chordata; Aves; Galliformes; Numididae. The record is from RNAcentral.
AUGCACCCACCCCUCCACCCACCUACCCUGUCCCCUUCUCGUGCGUGCUGCCAGUCCUGUGCUCUGGGAUCACUGCCAGAGGGCUUUGGAUCACUGACGGCCAAGACACCGUGUUCACACCGCCCCAAUGGCCCUCAUCCAGCAGCACACAGUGCAGGGGAUGCAUUAUUUAUCAGGCCCAGAGCUCCGGGCCCUGCUCACACUUUGCAAUGGCAAGGCGGCGAGGUGAGGACAAGGCCUCAGCCCCAGCGCCACUUCCUCAUGUUUCAAGCAACCUGCCAGGAAGGCAAGAAGAGGAGAGUAGAGUGUCUCCAUGCAGAACCCUCCUCCAGCACAACACCAUGCCCAGGGCUGAGCGGUGCACUUGGGGCCAGCUGCCCUGAGAACCAGGACCUUAGGAGCCCAGCGAAGGGGUGAGGAAAUCAGCCAGACCUCGGGUAGGAUCAGCCCGUGAGAACACGGCCUUUAAUCCAACUGUGAUAAUCUGAACAGGGAUUAACCAGGUCCAGCUGGAGUUCAGCUCCCACUCCCCGUUUAUUUUUGGCAGGAGGGUGUGAAGGGAUCUCUGCUGCUCCAGUGCCUCGGCCAGCAGCAGCACAACAGACCUCGUUGGGCCUUCCUGCCCCUUAUGGCUUUCCCACCACCUCUUGUUCCCAGGUCCCCUCUGCACUUCUCUGAGGCCUCAGAGCCAGGACCAUGAGAUCACGGUGCAGAAACUCAGCAGAGCCACCUUCCAGCAGAGUUCCCAAACGUUCCGUUUUUAGGAUGAGUUCUGCAACAUUGAGUGCCAUUUUUUUCUGCAACGGCAUAGCAAGCUGUCUUUUCGUUUCCACCCAGAAAAAAAAACCUAAAUUUCUGACCCUCAGCAUGCAAAGAAAACAAUGUAAAAUUGUCUUUGAGAAAGUUCUUCCCUAGUAUUUCUUGGUUUAACCUAAAUUUUCAGUGGGGUAAAUCUACCUGAGGGAAUACCUUUUGUGAGUCUUUCACGCAGCAAUAUUUGACAGAUUUGAAAAGCUACAGGGCUUGAGGAGCAAAACAAUUGUUCAUUUCAUAUGUCCCCUUUUUAUUUUCUCCAUUUAGUGCUCACACGUGGUGGGUCUGGAUACAGCGCUGCAGGCAGCUUCACUUCAGGGUCUCACUGCUGCAGCAUCUGGAUUUCUUUAAGUGAAGCUAUCAGUGAAGGCUUGCUGGGUUUGCAAAGCUACGAUAAUGUUCCUAUUAUUCUUAGAUACUCUAAAAGCUUUUCUUUUAAAAUAAAAUAUUUGGGGGACCAAAACUUCA